GCCUCCUCGCAGUGUUGCUGGGCCACGUCAGGAAGUGCUGGAGGACGUGGCAUUGCACCAACACCAGGCGGCCAGCCGUGUGGCUCAUCCCGCAAAUCAGGCUCUUCCUGUGCAUGGAGAUGGAGUCCCUCUGGAGGCAGCCCGUGGCCCUAUUCUCGGGCAGGUGGAGCAUGGAGAUGACUGGGAACUUCACUAGACACGCAUCCAUCCAGUUCAAGGGCUUGUCGCGCCGUGCACCAGCUUGCAGGAGAAAGCCCAACGCCUCGCCAAGCACGAAGGUCUCCCUUCCCGACUUGAUGAAGGCAGAGUAGCGGUUGAGGUUGCGGCUCACAGUGACCGAGCUCCUGCCCACGUGGGGACCCAGGGAGCCAUCAAGCUCCAGGUAUGCACCUCUGCCCAGUGCACCUGGAUCGUUCACCGUCAUGGAGCUGCCAUCCCACUUGUCGUCCCAGUCAUCAUCACUGCCCUAGCUGGCCUAGUUGCCACCAAGGAGCUGCUGAGGCCACGGCUUCAGGGCAUCCCUACCGCCUGGAAAUCCUGCGCCGGCUGCUGGAAGGCACUCUGUGGUGGCACCAGCUGCGGCUGCAGUAGCAGCUGGAAAGCACUGAGAGAUGGCUUCAAGGAGGCAGGCAGUGCACCGGGCAGGGCCUUGAAACCUCUGGGUGGUACAAUGGCCAUGGCACAGUGGGUCAAGGCACAGGGGCAGCCAUGGCACGCUGGGCCAGUCCAGGGUUGCAGACCACUUGCACUGCAGAUAUAAGGCCAGGGUUGCUGAGGCCAUGAGCCCCUGCGAGUCAGCCCUUGAUGUCCUGCUCACUACACAGGCUCAGCACUUCAUGUUCU
This 843-nucleotide small RNA is filed under the name Pan troglodytes (chimpanzee). Its description in RNAcentral is "retained intron". The record is from RNAcentral. Lineage: Eukaryota; Metazoa; Chordata; Mammalia; Primates; Hominidae.